GUGGGGAAUAUUGGACAAUGGGCGAAAGCCUGAUCCAGCCAUGCCGCGUGUGUGAAGAAGGUCUUCGGAUUGUAAAGCACUUUAAGUUGGGAGGAAGGGCAGUAAGUUAAUACCUUGCUGUUUUGACGUUACCGACAGAAUAAGCACCGGCUAACUUCGUGCCAGCAGCCGCGGUAAUACGAAGGGUGCAAGCGUUAAUCGGAAUUACUGGGCGUAAAGCGCGCGUAGGUGGUUUUGUAAGUUGGAGGUGAAAUCCCCGGGCUCAACCUGGGAACUGCCUCAAAAACUACUGAGCUAGAGUACGGUAGAGGGUAGUGGAAUUUCCUGUGUAGCGGUGAAAUGCGUAGAUAUAGGAAGGAACACCAGUGGCGAAGGCGACUACCUGGACUGAUACUGACACUGAGGUGCGAAAGCGUGGGGAGCAAACAGGAUUAGAAACCCCAGUAGUCC
This 450-nucleotide ribosomal RNA is filed under the name uncultured bacterium. RNAcentral describes it as "partial 16S ribosomal RNA". It matches the Rfam family "Bacterial small subunit ribosomal RNA", at positions 354 to 796 of the family's 1533-position model. The record is from RNAcentral.